RNAcentral lists this ribosomal RNA (120 nucleotides) under Pteropus alecto (black flying fox). RNAcentral also lists the same sequence under 1 other name. The record is from RNAcentral. Lineage: Eukaryota; Metazoa; Chordata; Mammalia; Chiroptera; Pteropodidae.
GUCUACGGCCAUGCUACCCUGAACAAGCCCUAUCCCAUCUGAUCUCGGAAGCUUAAGCAGAGUUGGGCCUGGUUAGUACUUGAAUGGGAGACCACAUAGGAAGACCAGGUGCUGUAGCCG